UCGAACGAAGCAUAUAAAAGGAAUUCCUUCGGAGAGGAAUUUUAUCUUACUGAGUGGCGGACGGGUGAGUAACGCGUGGGCAACCUACCCCACACAGGGGGACAACAGUUGGAAACGACUGCUAAUACCGCAUAGGCGCACAGCUUCGCAUGAAGCAGUGUGGAAAACCGAGGUGGUGUGGGAUGGGCCCGCGUCUGAUUAGCUGGUUGGCGGGGUAACGGCCCACCAAGGCGACGAUCAGUAGCCGGCCUGAGAGGGUGGACGGCCACAUUGGGACUGAGACAAGGCCCAAACUCAUACGGGAGGCAGCAGUGGGGAAUAUUGCACAAUGGGGGAAACCCUGAUGCAGCGACGCCGCGUGAGCGAAGAAGUAUUUCGGUAUGUAAAGCUCUAUCAGCAGGGAAGAAAAUGACGGUACCUGACUAAGAAGCCCCGGCUAAAUACGUGCCAGCAGCCGCGGUAAUACGUAUGGGGCAAGCGUUAUCCGGAUUUACUGGGUGUAAAGGGAGCGCAGGCGGCUUGGCAAGUCUGAUGUGAAAGGCUGGGGCUCAACCCCAGGACUGCAUUGGAAACUGUUAGGCUGGAGUGUCGGAGAGGUAAGCGGAAUUCCUAGUGUAGCGGUGAAAUGCGUAGAUAUUAGGAGGAACACCAGUGGCGAAGGCGGCUUACUGGACGACAACUGACGCUGAGGCUCGAAAGCGUGGGGAGCAAACAGGAUUAGAUACCCUGGUAG
This 733-nucleotide ribosomal RNA is filed under the name uncultured bacterium. RNAcentral's name for it is "bacterial SSU rRNA". It matches the Rfam family "Bacterial small subunit ribosomal RNA", at positions 47 to 793 of the family's 1533-position model. The record is from RNAcentral.